RNAcentral lists this ribosomal RNA (465 nucleotides) under uncultured bacterium. Its description in RNAcentral is "partial 16S ribosomal RNA". It matches the Rfam family "Bacterial small subunit ribosomal RNA", at positions 28 to 507 of the family's 1533-position model. The record is from RNAcentral.
GACGAACGCUGGCGGCGUGCUUAACACAUGCAAGUCGAACGGAAAGGCCCUGCUUGCAGGGUACUCGAGUGGCGAACGGGUGAGUAACACGUGGGUGAUCUGCCCUGCACUUCGGGAUAAGCCUGGGAAACUGGGUCUAAUACCGGAUAGGAGCCAUUUUUAGUGUGAUGGUUGGAAAGUUUUUUCGGUGUAGGAUGAGCUCGCGGCCUAUCAGCUUGUUGGUGGGGUAAUGGCCUACCAAGGCGGCGACGGGUAGCCGGCCUGAGAGGGUGGACGGCCACAUUGGGACUGAGAUACGGCCCAGACUCCUACGGGAGACAGCAGUGGGGAAUAUUGCACAAUGGGCGCAAGCCUGAUGCAGCGGCGCCGCGUGGGGGAUGACGGCCUUGGGGUUGUAAACUCCUUUCGCUAGGGACGAAGCUUUUUGUGACGGUACCUAGAUAAGAAGCACCGGCUAACUACGUG